CCUACGGGAGGCAGCAGUGAGGAAUAUUGGACAAUGGGCGCAAGCCUGAUCCAGCCAUGCCGCGUGCAGGAAGAAGCAUCUAUGGUGUGUAAACUGCUUUUGUACAGGAAGAAACACUCCCUCGUGAGGGAGCUUGACGGUACUGUAAGAAUAAGGACCGGCUAACUCCGUGCCAGCAGCCGCGGUAAUACGGAGGGUCCGAGCGUUAUCCGGAAUCAUUGGGUUUAAAGGGUCCGUAGGCGGUUUAAUAAGUCAGUGGUGAAAUCUGGUCGCUCAACGAUCAAACGGCCAUUGAUACUGUUAGACUUGAAUUAUAAGGAAGUAACUAGAAUAUGUAGUGUAGCGGUGAAAUGCUUAGAUAUUACAUGGAAUACCAAUUGCGAAGGCAGGUUACUACUUAUGGAUUGACGCUGAUGGACGAAAGCGUGGGGAGCGAACAGGAUUAGAUACCCUGGUAGUCCACGCCGUAAACGAUGGAUACUAGCUGUUCGGAGCAAUCUGAGUGGCUAAGCGAAAGUGAUAAGUAUCCCACCUGGGGAGUACGUUCGCAAGAAUGAAACUCAAAGGAAUUGACCGGNGUGAGAGAGACGACGACGACGACGAGGGAGGAGG
RNAcentral lists this ribosomal RNA (612 nucleotides) under uncultured bacterium. Its description in RNAcentral is "bacterial SSU rRNA". It matches the Rfam family "Bacterial small subunit ribosomal RNA", at positions 338 to 951 of the family's 1533-position model. The record is from RNAcentral.